UGCCCUAACUGUGAUCUGGGAGGGCUUGCUUUGCUGUGGAUUGAUCUUGGUUCCGGCAGCACCUCUUUGGCUGCGGAUCAAUAGCAGAGAUCUGUGAAUUAGGGACUUUGACGCGAGACGAGUA
Molecule: long non-coding RNA, 124 nt
Organism: Zingiber officinale
Lineage: Eukaryota; Viridiplantae; Streptophyta; Magnoliopsida; Zingiberales; Zingiberaceae
Exons: 3
Source: RefSeq, a predicted model, not a curated record